CGUGUAGGCGGAUUUGUAAGUUGGGGGUGAAAUCCCGAGGCUCAACCUCGGAACUGCCUCCAAAACUACAAGUCUGGAGCAAGAUAGAGGCAAGUGGAAUUGCGAGUGUAGAGGUGAAAUUCGUAGAUAUUCGCAGGAACACCAGUGGCGAAGGCGACUUGCUGGAUCUUUGCUGACGCUGAGACGCGAAAGCGUGGGGAGCAAACA
RNAcentral lists this ribosomal RNA (207 nucleotides) under uncultured bacterium. RNAcentral's name for it is "partial 16S ribosomal RNA". It matches the Rfam family "Bacterial small subunit ribosomal RNA", at positions 568 to 774 of the family's 1533-position model. The record is from RNAcentral.